GAUUGAACGCUGGCGGCAGGCCUAACACAUGCAAGUCGAGCGGAUGAAGGGAGCUUGCUCCUGGAUUCAGCGGCGGACGGGUGAGUAAUGCCUAGGAAUCUGCCUGGUAGUGGGGGAUAACGUCCGGAAACGGGCGCUAAUACCGCAUACGUCCUGAGGGAGAAAGUGGGGGAUCUUCGGACCUCACGCUAUCAGAUGAGCCUAGGUCGGAUUAGCUAGUUGGUGGGGUAAAGGCCUACCAAGGCGACGAUCCGUAACUGGUCUGAGAGGAUGAUCAGUCACACUGGAACUGAGACACGGUCCAGACUCCUACGGGAGGCAGCAGUGGGGAAUAUUGGACAAUGGGCGAAAGCCUGAUCCAGCCAUGCCGCGUGUGUGAAGAAGGUCUUCGGAUUGUAAAGCACUUUAAGUUGGGAGGAAGGGCAGUAAGUUAAUACCUUGCUGUUUUGACGUUACCAACAUAAUAAGCACCGGCUAACUUCGUG
This 485-nucleotide ribosomal RNA is filed under the name uncultured bacterium. RNAcentral describes it as "partial 16S ribosomal RNA". It matches the Rfam family "Bacterial small subunit ribosomal RNA", at positions 27 to 507 of the family's 1533-position model. The record is from RNAcentral.